This 498-nucleotide ribosomal RNA is filed under the name uncultured bacterium. RNAcentral's name for it is "partial 16S ribosomal RNA". It matches the Rfam family "Bacterial small subunit ribosomal RNA", at positions 30 to 523 of the family's 1533-position model. The record is from RNAcentral.
AUUGAACGCCGGCGGCAUGCCUUACACAUGCAAGUCGAACGGUAACAGGUCUUCGGAUGCUGACGAGUGGCGAACGGGUGAGUAAUACAUCGGAACGUGCCUAGUAGUGGGGGAUAACUACUCGAAAGAGUGGCUAAUACCGCAUGAGAUCUACGGAUGAAAGCAGGGGAUCGCAAGACCUUGCGCUACUAGAGCGGCCGAUGGCAGAUUAGGUAGUUGGUGGGAUAAAAGCUUACCAAGCCGACGAUCUGUAGCUGGUCUGAGAGGACGAUCAGCCACACUGGGACUGAGACACGGCCCAGACUCCUACGGGAGGCAGCAGUGGGGAAUUUUGGACAAUGGGCGAAAGCCUGAUCCAGCAAUGCCGCGUGCAGGAUGAAGGCCUUCGGGUUGUAAACUGCUUUUGUACGGAACGAAAAGCCCCGGGUUAAUACCCUGGGGUCAUGACGGUACCGUAAGAAUAAGCACCGGCUAACUUCGUGCCAGCCGCCGCAGUAA